Molecule: ribosomal RNA, 433 nt
Filed under: uncultured bacterium
Lineage: Bacteria
Description: partial 16S ribosomal RNA
Rfam family: Bacterial small subunit ribosomal RNA
Source: RNAcentral
AACGAACGCUGGCGGCAUGCCUAACACAUGCAAGUCGAACGAGACCUUCGGGUCUAGUGGCGCACGGGUGCGUAACGCGUGGGAACCUGCCCUUAGGUUCGGCAUAACUCCCCGAAAGGGGUGCUAAUACCGGAUAAUGUCUUCGGACCAAAGAUUUAUCGCCUUUGGAUGUGCCCGCGUUGGAUUAGCUAGUUGGUAGGGUAAAAGCCUACCAAGGCGACGAUCCAUAGCUGGUCUGAGAGGAUGAUCAGCCACACUGGGACUGAGACACGGCCCAGACUCCUACGGGAGGCAGCAGUGGGGAAUAGUGGACAAUGGGCGAAAGCCUGAUCCAGCAAUGCCGCGCGAGUGAUGAAGGCCUUAGGGUUGUAAAGCGCUUUUACCCGGGAUGAUAAUGACAGUACCGGGAGAAUAAGCUCCGGCUAACUCCGUG